This 492-nucleotide ribosomal RNA is filed under the name uncultured bacterium. RNAcentral describes it as "partial 16S ribosomal RNA". It matches the Rfam family "Bacterial small subunit ribosomal RNA", at positions 28 to 507 of the family's 1533-position model. The record is from RNAcentral.
GAUGAACGCUAGCUACAGGCCUAACACAUGCAAGUCGAGGGGAAACGACAUCGAAAGCUUGCUUUUGAUGGGCGUCGACCGGCGCACGGGAGAGUAACGCGUAUCCAACCUGCCCCUCACUUGGGAAUAACCUUGCGAAAGUAAGACUAAUACCUAAUGACAUCCCACGAAGACAUCUGAAUGGGAUUAAAGAUUUAUCGGUGAUGGAUGGGGAUGCGUCUGAUUAGCUUGUUGGCGGAGUAACGGCCCACCAAGGCAACGAUCAGUAGGGGUUCUGAGAGGAAGGUCCCCCACAAUGGAACUGAGGCACGGACCAAACUCGUACGGGAGGCAGCGGUAAGGAAUAUUAGUCAAUGAACGAGAGCCUGAACCAGCCAAGUAGCGUGCAGGAUGACGGCGCUAUGGAUUGUAAACUGCUUUUAUAAGAAAAUAAAGGGGGUCUCGUGAGACUUUUUGCAUGUACCUUAUGAAUAAGGACCGGCUAAUUCCGUG